RNAcentral lists this ribosomal RNA (466 nucleotides) under uncultured bacterium. Its description in RNAcentral is "partial 16S ribosomal RNA". It matches the Rfam family "Bacterial small subunit ribosomal RNA", at positions 28 to 505 of the family's 1533-position model. The record is from RNAcentral.
GACGAACGCUGGCGGCGUGCUUAACACAUGCCAGUCGAACGGAAAGGCCCUGCUUUUGUGGGGUUCUCGAUUGGCGAACGGGUGAGUAACACGUGAGUAACCUGCCCUUGACUUUGGGAUAACUUCAGGAAACUGGGGCUAAUACCGGAUAGGAUCUCCUGCUGCAUGGUGGGGGUUGGAAAGUUUCGGCGUUUGGGGAUGUACUCGCGGCUUAUCAGAUUGUUGGUGGGGUAGUUGCUUACCAAGGCUUUGACGGGUAGCCGACCUGAGAGGGUGACCGGAAAAAAUGGGAAUGAGAGGCGGCAGAGAGGAAUACGGGAGGAAGGAGGGGGAAAUAAUGCAGAAAGGGCGGAAGAGUGAUGAAGGAACGCGGAGUGGGGAAUGACGGCAUUCGGGAUGUAAAGCGGUUUCGGAUGUGACGAAGAGUGAGAGAGGGUAAUGGGUAAAGAAGCAGGGGAAAACUAUG